GGAGUACUUCCUCGGUCCAAUAAAAAAUGUCUUAAGUUUAUCAAAAUUUGAAUGUAUCUAGAUAUGAUAGUGUAUAGAUGCAUUCAAAUUUGGUCAAAUUUGAGACAUUCUUUGUUGGACGGAGGAAGUAUUAG
Molecule: non-coding RNA, 134 nt
Organism: Brachypodium distachyon (stiff brome)
Lineage: Eukaryota; Viridiplantae; Streptophyta; Magnoliopsida; Poales; Poaceae
Source: Rfam